This 502-nucleotide long non-coding RNA is filed under the name Bos taurus (domestic cattle). RNAcentral's name for it is "long non-coding RNA NONBTAT002852". The record is from RNAcentral. Lineage: Eukaryota; Metazoa; Chordata; Mammalia; Artiodactyla; Bovidae.
GGCAUGGAAACAGCACUCGGUAUUUACUGGUUGAAUGAAUAAAGGCAGAUACAGCUUCUCGAGUAUUUUAUUGGAGCAAAACAAUGUAUUUGCAUGGGAUGAUUCUUAAGUCAUCUCAAGUAGUUCCCCUUCAGCUCUUAACAUACACUCUCAGAAUGGAUACACCUUCCCCAAGCCAUUAUUUAUAGCUCAAUCAUCAUCCAACAAAUCAAAAACAAAACAAAAAAAUCAUUCAGCAAAGAAGGGAGACAGGGUGACAUUUUAACACAAUACUAAAUCUUUAUCUUUCCCCCUUCUCUUAAUGUUAGCUGCCUUUAUCCAGAGAGGGAUCAUUAAGACUGUGUCUGCAUGCUGGCUGUCUUGGUGACCUCACUAGUCUCCUCUGAAGAACCACUGAGGAUGCUUUUUACUGUUCCAACCCUUAACAACUGAGGGAACAAGACCUAAUGCUAAGGGUGAAGACAUUCCACCCUGGCCAGGGAUAUGUCCCACACUUCUUAGA